GACAGCAGCCGCCGCGGGAAUGCGUAGGUGGCAAGCGUUGUCCUGAAUUAUUGGGCGUAAAGGGCUCGCAGGCGGUUUCUUAAGUCUGAUGUGAAAGCCCCCGGCUCAACCGGGGAGGGUCAUUGGAAUCUGGGAAACUUGAGUGCAGAAGAGGAGAGUGGAAUUCCACGUGUAGCGGUGAAAUGCGUAGAGAUGUGGAGGAACACCAGUGGCGAAGGCGACUCUCUGGUCUGUAACUGACGCUGAGGAGCGAAAGCGUGGGGAGCGAACAGGAUUAGAUACCCCGGUAGUCCCUGUCUCUUAUAC
Molecule: ribosomal RNA, 306 nt
Filed under: uncultured bacterium
Lineage: Bacteria
Description: partial 16S ribosomal RNA
Rfam family: Bacterial small subunit ribosomal RNA
Source: RNAcentral